AGCAGUGCGCCACUGUCAGACGGGCUGCAGCGCUGGCAGGCGGCGGCUGGCAGCGCGAGGCGAGCGCUCUGGGCAGCAAGCGCGGCACGGCGCCGAGGCGUUCGAGGCGAGGAUGCGUCUCCUUGGGUGGCUCCAGGUUCUCGCAGUCGUUCUGCACUCGGCAAUGAGCGCGUCGAUGCUUGGGACGAAGAUGCCCACCGUGCAGCACCCUCCACCAACAACCCCGGCUCUAAAACCGUUGCCGGCACCGACAGUGUUCCCCACCUUGUGCUCCAAGUGCACGAAGAGAUGCGGCGUCAGACGAUGCUGCCAUCUGGCGGGCUGCCGGCCGACCGACGUCACCUGGCCUGAUUUUGACUGAGGUGGCGGUAUGCAGGGAGAACGGCACGAACCCUGGCUUUUGAUUUUACCGGCGGUUUGUGUUAUAACGAACGGGCGUGCUGCUGUGAUUUGUAAGACUAUGCCGCCGUAGAUGUUGCGUAGAUGGGAGACGGAGGACAAUUUCAAGUAGGAUGUGAACGCUUCCUCGCAGCUUCAACGCAUGCCAUCUUCUUAAUACAUGAUGCGCACGC
Long non-coding RNA from Pollicipes pollicipes, 572 nucleotides. RefSeq lists it as uncharacterized. NCBI's taxonomy places the organism in Eukaryota, Metazoa, Arthropoda, Thecostraca, Pollicipedomorpha, Pollicipedidae. The transcript is spliced from 2 exons. The record is from RefSeq and is a predicted model, not a curated record.